GUGCCAGCCGCCGCGGUAAUACGGAGGAUCCAAGCGUUAUCCGGAUUUAUUGGGUUUAAAGGGUGCGUAGGCGGACUUAUAAGUCAGCGGUGAAAGUUUGCAGCUCAACUGUAAAAUUGCCGUUGAAACUGUUAGUCUUGAGUGUAAAUGAGGUAGGCGGAAUGUGUUGUGUAGCGGUGAAAUGCUUAGAUAUAACACAGAACACCAAUUGCGAAGGCAGCUUACUGGGAUACAACUGACGCUGAGGCACGAAAGCGUGGGGAUCAAACAGGAUUAGAAACCCUCGUAGUCC
This 292-nucleotide ribosomal RNA is filed under the name uncultured bacterium. RNAcentral describes it as "partial 16S ribosomal RNA". It matches the Rfam family "Bacterial small subunit ribosomal RNA", at positions 505 to 796 of the family's 1533-position model. The record is from RNAcentral.